This 253-nucleotide ribosomal RNA is filed under the name uncultured bacterium. Its description in RNAcentral is "partial 16S ribosomal RNA". It matches the Rfam family "Bacterial small subunit ribosomal RNA", at positions 524 to 776 of the family's 1533-position model. The record is from RNAcentral.
UACGUAGGGUGCAAGCGUUGUCCGGAUUUAUUGGGCGUAAAGAGCGUGUAGGCGGCCUGAUAGGUCAGCUGUGAAAACUCGAGGCUCAACCUCGAGACGUCGGUUGAAACCAUCUGGCUAGAGUCCGGAAGAGGAGUGUGGAAUUCCCGGUGUAGCGGUGAAAUGCGCAGAUAUCGGGAAGAACACCAGUGGCGAAGGCGGCCUUCUGGACCAAUACUGACGCUCAUGCACGAAAGCGUGGGGAGCAAACAGG